RNAcentral lists this ribosomal RNA (253 nucleotides) under uncultured bacterium. Its description in RNAcentral is "partial 16S ribosomal RNA". It matches the Rfam family "Bacterial small subunit ribosomal RNA", at positions 524 to 776 of the family's 1533-position model. The record is from RNAcentral.
UACGUAGGGGGCAAGCGUUGUCCGGAAUCAUUGGGCGUAAAGCGCGCGUAGGCGGCCCUGUAAGUCCGUUGUGAAAGUCGAAGGCUCAACCUUCGAAAGCCGAUGGAUACUGCAGGGCUAGAGUCCGGAAGAGGCGAGUGGAAUUCCUGGUGUAGCGGUGAAAUGCGUAGAUAUCUGGAGGAAUACCGGUGGCGAAGGCGGCAUCCUGGACCGGCAUUGACGCUGAGGAGCGAAAGCCAGGGGAGCAAACGGG